RNAcentral lists this ribosomal RNA (605 nucleotides) under uncultured organism. RNAcentral's name for it is "bacterial SSU rRNA". It matches the Rfam family "Bacterial small subunit ribosomal RNA", at positions 84 to 710 of the family's 1533-position model. The record is from RNAcentral.
AGUGCCGGAUAGUGGCGAACGGGUAGAGUAAUGCAUGGGAACCUGUCUCUGAGAGGGGGACAACGUCUGGAAACGGGCGCUAAUACCCCAUAAAGCCUACGGGUAGAAAGGAGCGAUCUGCUCAGGGAGGGGCUCAUGUACCUAUACAGUUAGUUGGUAGGGGUAACGGCCUACCAAGGCGACGACGGGUAGCCGGCCUGAGAGGGUAGGACGGCCACACUGGAACUGAGAGACGGUCCAGACUCCUACGGGAGGCAGCAGUGGGGAAUAUUGGGCAAUGGGCGCAAGCCUGACCCAGCGACGCCGCGUGCGGGAAGAAGGCCUUUGGGUUGUAAACCGCUAGUUGUACGGGAAGAAGAAAGUGACGGUACCGUACGAGGAAGGUCCGGCUAACUACGUGCCAGCAGCCGCGGUAAUACGUAGGGACCGAGCGUUAUCCGGAAUUACUGGGCGUAAAGGGCACGCAGGCGGAUAUACAAGUCAGCUGUUAAAUACACGGGCUUAACCGGUGUAUAGCGGUUGAAACUGUAUAUCUAAGAGUACUGGAGAGGUAAGCGGAAUUCCCGGUGUAGCGGAGAAAUGCCGUAGAUAUCGGGAAGAACACC